GAGGGCACAGCGAGGGGGACGUGAGAGGGGAAUUCACAUGGUAAGUGAUGCUCAGAGCAACACUGCAAGUAACAUCCAAGUAAUAGAUGUGGGGGACUGGAGCAGGAGAGUUUUGCAUUAAAGCACAUUGUUCCUGAAUUUCUUUAGCAAGUGUACUUAAAGAGCAAGACAAGAGCACCGAAAACUUCCUUUCAUACUCAUCUAGUGCCUGCUUUGGAUUUUUCGUUGAACGCGGGGGAAUAUUUUCAUAAGAAAAUGUUUUAUUUCUGUAAUGUCUGCUCUUUUGAUUUAGUACAUAAAAAGAGUGCCAUCUUAAUAACAGCUAUAACAGAUAAAAACUGGAUUAUGAAAGAGAGGGUGUCCCCACUUACUAAAUUAACAAAUUCACGUGGAAAGAAUUUGUAGAAGACUACAAUACAAACACUGUGUCUUACACCAGAAUCACAGCAGUAAUUUGUCCCUUGCUGGAAUACACCCAUUUUUCCUCCUCCCAUUCUGCCUUUGGAGAAGAGAGAACUGGGACUGAAUUUGUCUUGAUUCUAAAGCAGCUGUAGAAAUAUAUCAAAUAAAUCAAAUCCUCAAACAGUUCUUGUUGUUUUAGAGUACUGCUGUUAACAGUUUAACACGUUUUAGGGAAUUGUGCUGAAGGGCAUCAUUACCUGCUCCCAGUCUUUCUGGUCAAGAAAGAGGAUUAUUUGGAAAUAUGAGUACUAUCAAGUAUGUUUUCGUGGUUGUGGUAAAAUUCCUGACUAUCGUUCUACAAGAGCAGAACAUUUCUUUGCAUAGCUUUAUUUAUAUAAAAGAUACCAUGCCUAAGCUAUCUCAGCAUCACUGCUGUACAUGUCUCAUACAUAGCCAAGCCCAGGGGCACAGUUUCAAAGUCAGGUUUUCAUACUGGGUUGGAUAUUUGGCCCAUGUAGUUUAAGAAAACAGAAAAUCUGGUGAUAUGCAUUUAAUAGCAAUAUAAAAAUAAAAACCAAUAAAAAUAAUGAGAAUUAUAUUUCUAUUGGGAGAACAUUAAAGUCAUAAUGGUGCAAAUGGGCUUUGGAUAAUUGAUAAUACUGAUGCAGAAAAUUAUUUUCAGUUCCCUCUCCUUUGCAGUAAAAUACAGCUGCACUUAAAGAGGGGGGAAAAGUUUUUUUCUUCUGGUGUUGAAGCAUAAGAGGGCUUUAACCAGCAUCACUAAGGAAACCUCAAAACCACACUAAAAAUGAACAUGUGAGUUUGCUGUGCUGGCAUGCAGAGUAGCCGUGCGACUGGUUCUACCUUGGGAGUGACAGCAUGGUGAAAGGAUGUCGCCUCUUGGCUCCAACCUUGCUGAUCGCUGCAAACCCAAGUGGAGGAUAAUCAUUCUCAAUCUGUGGCUUUACUGAAGCAGUGUCUUGCUGCUGCUGCAGUUCUGCUGCAGCUGUGAAGCAGGCGGCAGCUCCCUUGGCUGAUUUGCAUCGAGUCAUUCUGCAGUUAUCUACCUUCGGCGACACAUGGCCCAGAGCCCUGGGGAAGAAGCGAGCAAGGCUGUCCCAUUUCUCUCCUGCCACCGCUGUAGAUUUCCCUCUGGAAGCAAAUUCUGAUUCCUCUUGGGAGAACCAGCUCUUCACUUAUCCUUCUUAUCUGCAAAGACUAUUAGCAAUUAAAUAGGCAAUGCUAACAUGUAGAGAGUGAUAAUUGACCCUAAAUAGAUGAAAGAAUCUAUGGCAAGGGUGAAAAAUUCAAUUUUUCUCAGGUGUCAGUGCAAAAAUUUGUGUUGCAGGCACAGAAGCACAACCACAACCAUCUAUAGCAAGGUGAUGUAUAGAGAUUUCUCUGCCACAUGGGUGACUAUUUUGACUUUUUAAAACAAAAAUUUGAUUUCUUAAGAUGUGAGUAUAUUGGAUCUGCCUAAUUUGGUCCAGUGGCAUAAUGCUUCGGGUUGCUACGAUGCAUAAAUCAGGGUGUAUUUAAAUUGCAUCUGUUUUACAUUAUCCAUGUAAAUAAUUAUUUCAGAGCUCAGGAGUGGCCACCAUGAAAGGAGCAAUUGGCCUGUUUACUCUGAUGCAUUAAGCUUUUAAUGAGUGAUGCAUGAUUCUUCAGUUUGUAAUAGAUCCCAAAGUCUGAGGUGCUGUGGUAGCAUUCUUGAAGAGCACAUGCAGUGGUGUUCACUAUUCCUCUGUUCACAAGCUCUGUGAUUCUCAUAUUUUUCUCUUUUUUGCUCAGAGAAACUCAUAAGUUUAGCGCCUGUUAAUUUGCUUGGCCAGCAGAGAGCAUUCAUUGUGCAGUAGUUGCAGGAGAUCUGUGCCCAUGGGAGCUGCUGCCUUCUCUGUCCCAGUUACACAGUACCUAUCAAGUAACAUGGGAGUACCCAGGUGAAUUGGCAUGAGAUGUAUGAGGAGGUCAGCUCGGUAGAGUUGUUGCCCUAAACUCUGUGAAACUCUGUUGCAGAACCAUCUGUUGAACCUCCCCGCUCCCCUUCUCUGCCAGAGGCUUUUCUUCUUUACCUUGGAGAGCCAAAUCUUACUCGCCUUGAAUUCAGGAGACUUCCAGGAGAAGCCGAGUGAAUCAAUACGCAAUGUAGUAUGUACUUAAUAUAUGUAAGCUGCGCUGCAUUUUUAAUCAGCUAUAUAUUUAUUGUAGUGAAGAGUAACAAAUUACAGUACCACUAGCACACAAAAGCUUAUGGCAUUCCAUUAUUCUUAAUUAAUAGGUAAGUGCAAGCCUUUUUUAUUUAUACUGGAGAAGAUCUUCUUACUAAUUUGGUUGCAAAUGUAUCUGUAAAAAGGAAAAAAUUGUAUAUCUAUUUAUUUUCCUAGUUUAAUAAUAGAGCACUUGUUCUUUCCUUUUAGUUUUCUGAUGGUUACUUGGUUUGCAAUCAAAUAUUAGCAUGCUGUUUUUGCAUACAUUUCAAAGACGUCCAUUCUUUAAUAAGGAAAACAAAUGUAUUUGUAACAAGCAAGCAAAAGAAAAACUAAUGAAAAGCAUCUGGAAUUUAAGAUGAACACUAGAAAAAAGUGUGUAAGCACAAGUUCCCUGCAUUCCUUUGCCUGUUUCGCAAAUUUAUCAUAGGACUGAUCACACGUAGGUCAUUAUGAGAGAAGCUUAAAGGCAGAUAAUAUACAUUGUUUAUCCAUCCGAUGGUCUUCCUUUCCUUCAUGCAGGAAUUCAGAUAGGCAUAGGUCUCUACAAAACCUAGAAGUCUUCAUUUGGAGCUCCACCGUGAACUCUGGAGAAGUGAAACCAUCUGUGUCAACAUAGCACUGAAGAAAUGAAAUGGAAACCUCCUUGGCAGAAAACACAGAUGGUACGCACCGGGCCAAAAGUCAGACCUGAAGCAUCUUAUUUCAAUGAAGAAGCUGCUAUAAUAUCCUGAUGUGAAUGAAGUGACUGUUUUCAGCUUCCUGAAUCUGACCAUCGUUUUCUCUUUUCUCUGUACUUCUCAGUGCUGUUGGAAGUACACAGGUAUGUCCAUUCAUUGGUGUUUGUGAUGAAACAGAACCAAUUACGAAACCUAACUGAAAUUCCUAAAGGCUGUCCAUUGCUUCCUACUCUCCCUGUGAUGUCCCAGUUGUUCUGAUGUUUUUCAUUGCUUUGCUAAUGUAUUUCCUCUGAAGGUACAGAGGAGGGUGACUAAAGUUACUCAUGUGUGAACGUUUGGGCUGGAAUUUGUGCUUCAUACAUACCUUGGUAACAGUAUGUUAAUACCAAGGACCAUCGCUUGGAUCUAGAUAUUAAAAUUCUGAUAGUGUCCAUCUCUGAAAUGUUUAAAUAUUUAUGCACGAAGCUAUGAUCAUCUGUAGGAUGCUGUCUCUGAAGGCCCGUGUUGUGGUGGCCAGCUGAAAUUACUCAUUUCUUUCUAAGGAAAAAAUGCAGAAACCUGACAUGGGUUCUUGGGAGCUUUCCAAUGCUAGAGGAGGAAAAGGAGGUCCCUGCUAACUCCUAAUGGUGAGCCAUGAGGAGAGAGAUGCUGUGGUUGCAGUCUGUCCAUAUGGGACUUAUAACCACUGCCAUAUUCUGGACACAGAGUUAGCCUUGGCAUCAAGGCUGGAUGUAACAUCACAGAGAGUAGUGCUGUGGUUAGAGAUAGCGUUUUGAUGGAGGCAGGCGGGACAGAGGGAACUUCAUCUGAAGGAGAGCUGAAUUUGCUACAGCACAACCCAGGGCAUGGGACUCUGCCAAGAUGCUGAUAGUGGUCUAUGGGUGCACCAAACAGAAGGAAUCAGAGUAAAGCUCAUAUUUCAGGCUCUCUUACUGUGCUGUUUUAUUUUGUACAGAAGCCCGCUCCUUGAGUGAGGGUAUGCUCUGCAGAGAUGCUCAGAGAAGGUCAUUUGUUUAUUUGUGGGGUAGUUACUAAUUUCAACAGGAAUCCUUAGACAUUGCAGUCUGUCCUCCUCUGCCAGGAGCUGGUGGCUAUAGGAUUGCUACCUCAGCAGGGCAGGGCAGAGCUGUUUGGUGAGAACAGGCCUGCUAAGCCAUGUUUGUCUGUGCAGCGAUGGCUGAGCUUUGCUUACUCUAACAUCACAUACAGCAAAUGAAAUAUGUAGUGCUUCCCCAUGGAGUUUCCGUGACUUACUGUUUAGUGUAAACUUAAAAAAAGAAAAAAGAAAAAACGCUGCAAAAACUGAUCAAGAACUGAUAAUUGAAAAGAUGACAUGACCUAAUUUGAAAAGGGUUAUAUCUUCACAUGCCCCACACUUGUGUAGUUCAAAAUAGUACACAUCUUGUCCCUUUAACUUCAGGUGUAUGUGUCUUGUCUGGUUCUUGGAAGUGACUGUGUACAGGCAGAGCAUAAUUGGCAGCCUGUGACAUCCCUGUCUGCAAGUGUCUCUCUAAAUGGAGCGUAUUUCAGCCUUUAUCUAGUGAUGGCUGUUACCUGAGAGAAGCCCAGGGCCAUCUCAAAGGGCUUGUAGCGGCUAAUUGUGCCUGUUAGGACUAGCAAUUAGCUGGGGAUCUCUCCACUAGGCAGCUCCGACACCCACUAGCUUUCAGCUCUUUUCACUUCCUUUCAGUUAACUAGCUGUGCCGAGCAGAAGAGACAAGGGACAGGUAGGCGAGUGUGCCGUCACGCUCAGGAAGGACGAGAAGGGAUGUGUGCAAGACCGCUGGGGAAAAAAUAGACACCGGGUUAUAAUAAUACACAAAAACAUGACCUGAUUAUUACAGAAACAAAGCAGCAGGUGACCUAUCCCUCAUCUGUAGGUAUUGGAGGCUACAGCUGGACUGUUUGCACAGGCUAUACUUCAGCUUUAAGAAAACAAUAAAAUCUAAUUACGUAUAGGUCAUAAAAAAGAUCCUGUACAUAUGGUGGUUGCUGGUUACCAUGGUGCAAACAGUGGUUUCAAUGGAAACAUGAAGCAGAACAUCGAAGAAUUAAGAUAAUAAAUCAGUUUCAUUGAAUAAUAAAGCUUUGCACUUACCCAUUAAUUAAGGAUAAUCGUAUGCCAUAAGCUUUUGUGUGCUAUAAGUAAUGUGUUACUCUUUACCAUAAAUAUAUAGAUGAUUAAAAAUUCAAUACACCUUACAGGUAGCAAAUUCAUACCAUCCUUCGUAUAUAUUGCCAAAGAAAGAUGUAAGUGUUCUUUUUAUACUUAUUAUUUUUUGGAUUGGGAUAGAACGUUUCAAUUAUCCGGCAGAAUUUGAGUUUGUGAUAACACUUGGAAGACUUGAGAAAAUCUCCUUCUUGAAACCUUUGUGAAAAUCUUUAAACAUUGAUGACACAAUUCAAAGAUAGCUAAAAAUGUUCAGAGAAAAGACUGGGCUGGGCUGCCACAUCUGGUUUCCAAUAGUGGAUUGAGACAUACCACAUAAUGCAGCCCACUGUAACACAAUACACACUGAUCUUGUAUUGACCCUUCCACUUGAUACAUCUUUUGGUGCUUUGUAAUCCCUAACAAAUGUACCUUAAAAUCCUAUUGAACUGUGGAGGCAAUUGAGAACAAAUGUCUUCAGGCCAGAAAUAGCAUCUGCUUCUCAGACCAGACCGGAGACCACUCCAGGUACACAGGGUGCAGGCUGAAGAUUGGGACA
This is a long non-coding RNA of Gallus gallus (chicken), 5997 nucleotides long. RefSeq lists it as uncharacterized. The transcript has 3 exons. NCBI's taxonomy places the organism in Eukaryota, Metazoa, Chordata, Aves, Galliformes, Phasianidae. The record is from RefSeq and is a predicted model, not a curated record.